Molecule: ribosomal RNA, 469 nt
Filed under: uncultured bacterium
Lineage: Bacteria
Description: bacterial SSU rRNA
Rfam family: Bacterial small subunit ribosomal RNA
Source: RNAcentral
UCGAGAAUCUUCCGCAAUGGGCGAAAGCCUGACGGAGCGACACCGCGUGCAGGACGAAGGCCCUCGGGUUGUAAACUGCUGUCACGCUCUAGGAAUGCCAUGUCGUUAAUAGCGGCAUGGUUGACCAAGGCGAAAGGAAGUGGCGGCUAACUCUGUGCCAGCAGCCGCGGUAAGACAGAGGCCACGAACGUUGUUCGGAAUCACUGGGCAUAAAGCGCACGUAGGCGGCUAGGUCCGUCCAAUGUGAAAGCCCCCGGCUCAACCGGGGAAUUGCAUCGGAUACAGCCUGGCUUGAGGACGGUUGGGGUGAGUGGAACUCCUGGUGGAGCGGUGAAAUGCGUAGAUAUCAGGAGGAACACCGGUGGCGAAAGCGGCUCACUGGACCGUAACUGACGCUGAGGUGCGAAAGCUAGGGGAGCAAACGGGAUUAGAUACCCCAGUAGUCCCUGAGCGGGCUGGCAAGGCGCAU